RNAcentral lists this ribosomal RNA (427 nucleotides) under uncultured bacterium. RNAcentral describes it as "partial 16S ribosomal RNA". It matches the Rfam family "Bacterial small subunit ribosomal RNA", at positions 354 to 796 of the family's 1533-position model. The record is from RNAcentral.
GUGGGGAAUAUUGGGCAAUGGGGGCAACCCUGACCCAGCGACGCCGCGUGGGUGAAGAAAUCCCUCGGGAUGUAAAGCCCUGUUGUAUGGGAAGAGCAGAAGACGGUACCAUACGAGGAAGCCCCGGCAAACUACGUGCCAGCAGCCGCGGUAAUACGUAGGGGGCAAGCGUUGUCCGGAAUUACUGGGCGUAAAGCGCACGCAGGCUGAAUUAUAAGUCGGUAGUCAAAUACGGAGGCUCAACUUCCGGAUAUCUAUCGAUACUGUAAAUCUAGAGUAUGGGAGAGGGAAGCGGAAUUCCCGGGGUAGCGGUGAAAUGCGUAGAUAUCGGGAGGAACACCAGUGGCGAAGGCGGCUUUCUGGACGGUGUCUGACACUGAGGCGCGAAAGCCAGGGGAGCGAACGGGAUUAGAUACCCCUGUAGUCC